GCGGAGGAAAAGAAACUAACCAAGGAUUCCCCUAGUAACUGCGAGUGAAGCGGGAAAAGCUCAA
Molecule: ribosomal RNA, 64 nt
Filed under: Russula cf. aeruginea E00159237
Lineage: Eukaryota; Fungi; Basidiomycota; Agaricomycetes; Russulales; Russulaceae
Description: partial 28S ribosomal RNA
Rfam family: Eukaryotic large subunit ribosomal RNA
Source: RNAcentral